RNAcentral lists this small RNA (3994 nucleotides) under Pongo abelii (Sumatran orangutan). RNAcentral's name for it is "retained intron". The record is from RNAcentral. Lineage: Eukaryota; Metazoa; Chordata; Mammalia; Primates; Hominidae.
CACAUGCUCACACAUUCACACACAUGCUCACCCAUACACAUGCUCACACACAUGCUCACACAUUCACACACAUGCUCACCCAUACACAUGCUCACACAUUCAUACACAUGCUCACACACAUGCUCACCCAUACAUACGCUCAGACACAUGCUCACCCAUACACCUGCUCACACACAGAUGCUCACACAUAUCUACACCUGUUCACACACACACAUGCUCACACACAAUUACACAUGCUCACACAUGACAUACACCUCAUACACAUGCUCACACACAAUUACAUACGCCUGCUCACACAUACACACACAUGCUCACACACAUGAUUACAUACACCUCACACAUACACAUGCUCACACAUGAUUACAUACACAUGCUCACACACAUGCUCACCCAUAAACAUGCUCACACACACAUGCUCAUACACGUUUACCCAUAUAUAUGCUUACACACGCAUGCUCACACACACGAUUACAUACACCUGCUCACACAUACGCAUUACAUACACCUCACACACACAUGCUCACACAUACACAUACAUGCUCACAAACAUGAUUACAUACACCUACACACACACAUGCUCACACAAUUACAUACACCUACUCAUACACACAUAUGCUCACACACACGAUUACAUACACCUCACCCAUACACACACACGGUCACACGAUUACAUAUGCUCACACAUACAUGCUAACACACGAUUACAUACACAUGCUCACACACAUGCUCACCUAUACACAUGCUCACACACGCUCACACACACAUACACACGAGUACAUAUACAUGCUGACACACACAUGCCCACACACGAUUACAUACACAUGCUCACACAUACAAACGUUCACACUCACAUGUUCACACACAUGCACACAUGCUCACGCACACACCCAUACACACAUACUCACACAUGAUUACAUACACAUGCUCACAUACAUACACGAUUACAUACACAUGCUCACACAUGCUCACACAUACACACAUGUUCACAAGGCUCAUACACAUGUUCUUACACAUACAUGCUCACGCAUACACACAUAUACACACAUGCUCACACACAGGCACACAUGAUCACACAUACACAGGCUUGCACAAGUUUACACACAUACUCAUACACACAUGCGCACAUAUGCACAUGCUCUCACAUACAUGUAUAGGCACACACAGGAUUACACAUGCUCACACAUGUGUUUAUACACAUACAUACACCCAUGCACAUGUUCAUGCGUUUAUACACACACAUCACACAUACACACACCCAUAUACUCACACACACAUUCACACACACGCUGUCACAUGCUCUGUCUCUCACACAUACCUGACGGUUCCGUGCUGUCCCCUGUUUCCCUCAGGGUCUUCCCUUUGGAGGCUGCAGCUCGUCUGAGCAUCCAGCCUUGAAGGCACCGAGCAGGCAAGGAGGUAGGGCUUUUCUCUAGGGAGGUCUGCAUUGCAGUACGGCUUCCUCAUCCCCGCUAAGGGUAGGGAAGGGCCAGAGUCUAGGACUUACCUGAAUACAGAACAUCUGGGAGCGUCUGUCUCGUGUGGGCCUUGUGCUGAGCCUGUGCAGACCAGGACUUGCACCCUAAGCCACUUGUUGGCCCCUCCCUCAGAAUCGUGUGCAAUGGCUUGGCCUCACCCAUAGACAAGGGAGGCGGCAAGAAAUGCCGUAGAGAGACACUGAGCCUAAAGGACAGCACCUUACACCUGUGCAGUCCACACUUGCCUUUCCAAUUCACCGUUGCAUUUCAUCCUCACGUCCCUUGACACCAAGGCCCAGAAGCGGAGAAGGUGCACAUCACAUAAUGCUGAGUUGGAAGGGAGUUUGCUUUUCAUCUCUUGUCUACUGCCCCGUGAACAACUUUCCAAGUGACACAUUUUGUAAAAGGAGAGAACCUGCACGGAACUGGCUGCUCUGGGGCCCUCUCCCUGCCCGACGCUGCUUCAUGCUGAGUUACUGCCAGGACUCCUAACUGUCUUCUCUCUGUGCUGUCUCCAGGAUUACGGUGGCUACCUGAGCACCUACAUCCUCCCAGCAAAGGGAGAAAAUCAAGGCCAGACAUUCACCUGCGGCUCCGCUCUCUCUCCAAUAACAGACUUCAAACUCUAUGCCUCUGCGUUUUCCGAGAGGUACUUGGGCCUCCACGGACUUGACAACAGAGCGUACGAGAUGACCAAGGUAGCCCAUCGAGUCUCCGCACUGGAAGAACAGCAGUUCCUGAUCAUUCAUCCCACUGCCGAUGAAAAAAUUCAUUUCCAGCACACAGCAGAACUCAUUACACAACUAAUUAGGGGAAAGACUAAUUACAGCUUACAGGUACAGUACGCAUGUUACUCUGUUUUGAACCUGGAGCAAGACAUUCCUUUCAUGGAGAAAGACCUGACGGGUGUUCAGGACCUUCUACUGCAGCAGACACGCCUGUGCUGUGGUGGUCGGCGAUGAGCAGGGUCCCAGCAGGUUGGAAAAUCAGCACAUGCUCAAUGUUUUCUUAUAAUUAAUGAUAGCUCUGCUCUGUACUUCAGCCAGGUUUAAAUCCCUUUAGGACAACCACCACCCCAUACUCCCAUCCCAGCCCUGCUUCCCUCCUCUGGGCAGUGAGAAAAACCAAGCCAGCACCCGCCCUGCCCAGCAGUGUGGCUGGGGCUAUCCCGGUGUGGGGAGUGGGACUGUUGUUCUGGGUUGGUGAGAGUGGUGCUGGCGGGCCCUGAGCCUUGCCCCACUGCUUCCCUCUGACCAACACCACACGUUACUACGCACUAGCAGGAUGUCCUGGGGGCAUCUGUAGCUAGGCAGUAGUGAAAGAGGGGUACCCUUCCCAGAACUGAACUCACUUUCCCACAACCAACCCAUGGCCCGUCCACAACAGCAUCAAGUGCUGACCCAGCAGCCUCAAACCUGGGCUCUUCCCAGCAAUGCACAGGGCUGUCUCUGGAAACUUCUGCCAUUUUCUUCCUGCCCUCUGCUCCUUUGGUGGAACAGGUAUGACCCAAUGGUCUCUUCAGGUCCGACAUGAAUGGGAGAGCUCCUUGGGAACAAAUGAUGGGCAGGCACCCCGCCUCCCUCAAAGAGCUCUUGCCCUGGGCUGAUCACUGCCUUGGCCUCCAACAUCCCUGCCUAUGGGAGGGAGGGACCACCUGUGGGCUUGAUCAGGCAGGGAGAGCUCCAGCCAGAAGGGAGUUGGACCCUAGUGUGGAUGAAGAGGGGCAGAAGGACGGGGUUACACCACACUUGAGUUUCCUUGUGAAAGACGUUCAGAUUUCAGACUUUUUCAUAGUAAGUGUGGCAGCUGCAUGGCAGUGUUAAGCACACUGACCAUGAAAGUUCCAAAGGUCUAUCUGUAUGUGCUCCCAUGGGCAACUCCCCAAGAUAUGGGGCCAGCUGAACCCCCAGGUACAGAGCAGCCUGCAUCACUGCAGGCUCCACGGGUAUCAGGGAGUGGGACACGCAUGUGGGCACAGCAAAGGUCUUCACAGACACCCUGUGCAUCUGGAGCCAGGCCCAGCUCCAGGUAAGAGCACGGGAGAUGGGGACCUGAGGCAGGAGGAGAAAGCUUCCUGCCCCAUACCCUCUUGUACUACUUUAAGUUUUAAUGACAUAUCAUAGCCUAAUGGUAGCAUUAAUAAAUACUUCAAAAUAAAGAUGAAUUUCACCCUCCAAAAACAUACAAAGAAGGCAGGAAGAGGCAGUCUAGUGUCACAAAAAGAUGUAGGUUUUGAGCCAGAUGCAGUGGCUCACACCUGUAAUCCCAGCACUUUGGGAGGCUGAGGUGCGGGGAUUGCUUGAGCUCAGGAGUUUGAGACCAGCCUGGGCAACAGAGCAAGACCCCAUCUCUACAAAAAGGUUUUAGAAAAUAGCCGGACGUAGUGAAGUGUACCUGUUGUCCCAGCUACACAGGAGGCUGAAGUGGGAGAAUCAGUUGAGCCCAGGAAGUUGAGGCUGCAGUGAGCUAUGGUCACACCAUGGCAUUCCAGCCUGGGCGACAGAGUGAGACCCUGUCUG